UUGAAAUUUGGGAUUGGAAAAAUUCUAAUUUUUUCUUUCUUUUGUUUUUUGUUUUUUUUGGGGAUAGAACCCCCCGAUUUCUCAUAUCGCAUUCAAUAGUCUCAUUUUCCCCAACUCGACCUUGCAACACUACUACCAACGCAACAUGCCUUCCUUCCUCAUGGGCAUGUCCCCGACCAUGUCGUCACUCCCUUCAUCUCCGUCGGUGGUCUCUCCGUCGCCGCCCUCUUCGAUUGAUUUGCCGGUGCGGCCCGUUCCCGGAACUUAUGGCUUGCCGUUUCUCGGCCCAUUCUCCGACCGUUUAGACUACUCCUGGUUCCAGAAGCCGGAGGCCUUCUUCAGGAAGCGGAUCGACAAGUACAGGAGCACCGUGUUCCGUACCAAUGUCCCUCCCUCCUUCCCUUUCUUCACCAACGUCAACCCAAACGUCGUCGCUUUGCUCGAUUGCAAGUCCUUCGCUCACCUCUUUGACGUCGACCUCAUCGACAAGAAGAACGUCCUCGUUGGAGAUUUCAUGCCCAGCGUCGCCUUCACCGGCAACAUCAGGGUCGGCGUUUAUCAGGACACUUCCGAGCCUCAACACUCCAAGUUGAAAAAGUUCGCCAUUGAUAUCCUGAGACGGAGCUCCGGCGUAUGGGCAGCUGAACUCGUAUCCAAUCUUGACGUGAUGUGGGACAACAUUGAAUCGACACUCUCCAAAUCCAGUUCCGCCGGCUACAUCUUCCCGCUGCAGAGAUGCCUCUUCGCUUUCCUCUGCAAAGUGCUAGCCGGCGCCGAUGUUUCCCGCAACCUCGAUAUAGCCAGUUCCGGUUACGCAAUGCUCGACCGGUGGCUCGCCCUCCAGAUACUUCCCACCACCCCUAUCGGUGUUCUUCAACCUCUAGAGGAGAUUUUCCUUCACUCUUUUGCCUAUCCUUUCUUCCUGGUUAGCGGAGACUACAAUAAACUUUACCAAUUCGUUAAAAAAGAAGGUAAGGAAGUCAUAGAAAGGGGUGAAACCGAGUUUGGGCUGAGUCAAGAAGAUGCGAUUCACAACUUGCUGUUCGUGCUGGGUUUCAACGCGUUUGGCGGGUUUUCUGUUUUCCUACCCAGUUUGAUAGACACCAUAGCAACCGACGAUACCGGAUUACAAGAGAAGCUGAGGACAGAAGCGAGGGAAAAGGGCGGGCCUACCCUGAGCCUCGACUCCAUCAAAGAGAUGCAUCUCAUUCGAUCUGUAGUGUACGAAACUCUCCGGUUAAACCCGCCGGUUCCGCUCCAAUACGGCCGGGCCAGGAAGGAUUUCCGGCUGUGCUCGCAUGAGUCGGCGUUUGAGAUCAAGAAGGGGGAGCUGCUCUGUGGGUACCAGAAGCUGGUGAUGCGGGACCCGGUCGUGUUUGACGACCCGGAGAGUUUCAAACCGGAUCGGUUCACGGAAGAGAAAGGCGGCGUACGGUUGUUAGGCUACUUGUAUUGGUCCAACGGGCCUCAAUCCGGGUCGCCGAGCGAGUUCAAUAAACAGUGUCCUGGUAAGGAUGUGGUCACCCUCACAGCGUCCUUGAUUUUGGCCCACUUGUUUCGCAGAUACGAUUCCAUCAAGGGAAAUACAACUUCCAUCACAGCCGUUGAAAAGGCCAAAUAACGAAGGGCCAGGAUUUGUUUGUUUGUGAUGACGUACUGGAUACUGAUGGGGGAGACUGAGAUGAGACGCUGCUUGUUCUCAAUAUCGCGGUUACUUCGUAGAUCUGAAGUGAGUCAUUUUCAGCGUGUUGCCGCCUUGAAAUGCAUUGAGCAUCCAGGACAGAGUUUUGGGCAUUCAGAUUUUGGAUACGUAACCUUGAAAGUCGGAUGCUUGAGUUGUGUAGUUGCAUUUUCAACUCAAGAAGUCAUACACCUUACUCAUUCCCGUGUAUAGAACUCAGUGUGAGGGCCGCAUUUCUCCAACAUAAGAUCCAGUCUGGUUUAGAAUGCAGGCGUUUCAGCCGCUCUACUUUCAUUCUGUCCUAUGUUUUCAUUUGUUUGUUGUACGGAGAACAAUUUCAGGAAGCUGGAUAAUGACAUAAGAUCUCUUUUGAUAAA
RNA transcript from Prosopis cineraria, 2058 nucleotides. It is a transcript of the gene named fatty acid hydroperoxide lyase, chloroplastic, with no coding region annotated. The record is from RefSeq and is a predicted model, not a curated record. The transcript is spliced from 4 exons. NCBI's taxonomy places the organism in Eukaryota, Viridiplantae, Streptophyta, Magnoliopsida, Fabales, Fabaceae.